This 72-nucleotide transfer RNA is filed under the name Culcita novaeguineae. RNAcentral describes it as "tRNA-Thr". It matches the Rfam family "tRNA". From Rfam's summary of the family: Transfer RNA (tRNA) molecules are approximately 80 nucleotides in length. Their secondary structure includes four short double-helical elements and three loops (D, anti-codon, and T loops). The record is from RNAcentral. Lineage: Eukaryota; Metazoa; Echinodermata; Asteroidea; Valvatida; Oreasteridae.
GCCCUAAAAGCUAAUUGGAAAGCUACUAAUCUUGUAAAUUAGGUGAUGAAGGUUCGAAUCCUUAUUAGGGCU